RNAcentral lists this ribosomal RNA (253 nucleotides) under uncultured bacterium. Its description in RNAcentral is "partial 16S ribosomal RNA". It matches the Rfam family "Bacterial small subunit ribosomal RNA", at positions 524 to 776 of the family's 1533-position model. The record is from RNAcentral.
UACGAAAGGUGCAAGCGUUAAUCGGAAUUACUGGGCGUAAAGCGUGCGCAGGCGGUGAUGUAAGUCAGAUGUGAAAUCCCCGGGCUCAACCUGGGAACUGCAUUUGUGACUGCAUCGCUGGAGUGCGGCAGAGGGGGAUGGAAUUCCGCGUGUAGCAGUGAAAUGCGUAGAUAUGCGGAGGAACACCGAUGGCGAAGGCAAUCCCCUGGGCCUGCACUGACGCUCAUGCACGAAAGCGUGGGGAGCAAACAGG